UGGGGGAGGCUGGAUUCUGGGCUGUGGCCGGGUGCCCCGGACCUGCGCUGUUGGAUUCGCGCUCCAGGAGCCACGCAGCCCCCU
Molecule: microRNA precursor, 84 nt
Filed under: Canis lupus familiaris (dog)
Lineage: Eukaryota; Metazoa; Chordata; Mammalia; Carnivora; Canidae
Description: mir-8799 microRNA precursor family
Rfam family: mir-8799 microRNA precursor family
Source: Rfam by way of RNAcentral